Molecule: ribosomal RNA, 431 nt
Filed under: uncultured bacterium
Lineage: Bacteria
Description: partial 16S ribosomal RNA
Rfam family: Bacterial small subunit ribosomal RNA
Source: RNAcentral
CCUACGGGAGGCAGCAGUGGGGAAUCUUGGACAAUGGGCGCAAGCCUGAUCCAGCAAUGCCGCGUGGGUGAAGAAGGCCUUCGGGUUGUAAAGCCCUUUCGGGAGAGGCGCGGUACCCGCAGAAGAAGCACCGGCUAACUACGUGCCAGCAGCCGCGGUAAUACGUAGGGUGCGAGCGUUAAUCGGAAUUACUGGGCGUAAAGGGUGCGCAGGCGGCCCUGUAAGACCGGUGUGAAAUCCCCGGGCUCAACCUGGGAAUUGCGCUGGUGACUGCAGGGCUAGAGUACGGUAGAGGGGGGUGGAAUUCCUGGUGUAGCAGUGAAAUGCGUAGAGAUCAGGAGGAACACCGAUGUCGAAGGCAGCCCCCUGGCCGUACUGACGCUCAUGCACGAAAGCGUGGGGAGCAAACAGGAUUAGAUACCCUAGUAGUC